AGCGAACGCUGGCGGCAGGCCUAACACAUGCAAGUCGAGCGCCCCGCAAGGGGAGCGGCAGACGGGAGAGUAACACGUGGGAACGUACCCUUUGGUUCGGAACAACCCAGGGAAACUUGGGCUGAUACCGGAUAAGCCCUCACGGGGAAAGAUUUAUCGCCGAAGGAUCGGCCCGCGUCUGAUUAGCUAGUUGGUGAGGUAACGGCUCACCAAGGCGACGAUCAGUAGCUGGUCUGAGAGGAUGAUCAGCCUCACUGGGACUGAGACACGGCCCGGACUCCUACGGGAGGCAGCAGUGGGGAAUAUUGGACAAUGGGCGCAAGCCUGUUCCAGCCAUGCCGCGUGGGUGAUGAAGGCCCUAGGGUUGUAAAGCCCUUUCGGCGGGGAAGAUAAUGACGGUACCCGCAGAAGAAGCCCCGGCUAACUUCGUGCCAGCCGCCGCAGUAA
This 447-nucleotide ribosomal RNA is filed under the name uncultured bacterium. RNAcentral describes it as "partial 16S ribosomal RNA". It matches the Rfam family "Bacterial small subunit ribosomal RNA", at positions 29 to 523 of the family's 1533-position model. The record is from RNAcentral.